GGCAAGAUGGCAGAAGUAGAGCAGAAGAAGAAGCGGACCUUCCGCAAGUUCACCUACCGCGGCGUGGACCUGGACCAGCUGCUGGACAUGUCCUAGUAAGGGCGGCCGGCGGGGGUCGCGGGCAGGGGCUGGGCCAGCGGUGGGGCUUGUCCGGGUGAGGGCGGCGGGGCGAGGGUCCUGCGGCGGUGGGCGAGCACAGUUUCCGCGCGGGUUUGGGACUGAGUGUGGUCUUGCGCCCAGAAAACUCUCCAGAGACGUUGAGGUUUUUGCUUAUUUUCAACCUGCCCCCCGUUGUUAAGUUUUCCGCGGCGUAGUUGGAAGGUGUAGCCACUGUCUGUAGCCCACGUGACUUAGAAUAAAGGGGCAGCGUUAGACUUCUUAGAUUCUAAGCGCGGUGGCAGUCGCUGGGUCCUUUCCAGGCAGGGUGGUGGUGGGCAUCUGGCUUGCGCUUUUGUUUUUUAAUUUUUUAUUAUUUUGAGACGGAGUCUCAUCCUGUCGCCCAGGCUGGAGUGCAAUGGCCGCGUCUCAGCUCACUGCAGCCUCCGACUCCCGGGUUCAAUUGAUUCUCUUGCCUCAGCCUCUCGAGUAGCUGGGAUUAGAGGGGCCCACCACCACGUCCGGCUAAUUUUUGUAUUUUUAGUAGAGACGAGUUUCAGUGUUGACCAGGCUGGUGUCAAACUCCUGACCUCAGGUGAUCCACCUUCCUCGGCCUCCCAAAGUGCUGGGAUUAUAGGCGUGAACCACCGCGCCCGGCCUUGGUUUUUAAUUAUUUGUAGAAACAGGGUUUCUGUAUGUCGUCCAGGUUGGUCUUGAACUCCUGGGCUCAAGCGACCCUCCCGCCUCAGCCUCCCGAAGUGGUGGGAUCACAGGCGGGAGCCACCGCGCCCUCCCUGCCUUCCCCUGCGUUUUUAGAGGCCUUUGGCCCAAGCUGUACGCUGCAGCACCUUGUCUGAGGCUGUGGUCUCCGGGCCGCUUGUUCUCUCUGCAUCUCUGCAGUCACACGGUGGCUCUUGCAUCUGAGGGGUGAGUCGCGCAUAUCUGGCGGGGGUGCCGGAGGGACUUGGCGUGUUCAUUAUAGUCACUACAGUGGACAGUGACAAGUCCAGUGCGGCUGUGUCCCUGGGGAGAACCAAGCCUUAGUUCUCUGUCCCCCGGAGUGCGUAGGGUCUCCCCAGGCCGGGCCGCUCACGAAGCAGCCUGGUGCAUCCUCCCCAGCGAGCAGCUGAUGCAGCUGUACAGUGCGCGCCAGCGGCGGCGGCUGAACCGGGGCCUGCGGCGGAAGCAGCACUCGCUGCUGAAGCGCCUGCGCAAGGCCAAGAAGGAGGCGCCGCCCAUGGAGAAGCCGGAAGUGGUGAAGACGCACCUGCGGGACAUGAUCAUCCUGCCCGAGAUGGUGGGCAGCAUGGUGGGCGUCUACAACGGCAAGACCUUCAACCAGGUGGAGAUCAAGCCCGAGAUGAUCGGCCACUACCUGGGCGAGUUCUCCAUCACCUACAAGCCCGUAAAGCACGGCCGGCCCGGCAUCGGGGCCACUCACUCCUCCCGCUUCAUCCCUCUCAAGUAGUGGCUCAGCUAAUAAAGGUGCACAUGACUCCA
This 1596-nucleotide small RNA is filed under the name Pongo abelii (Sumatran orangutan). RNAcentral's name for it is "retained intron". The record is from RNAcentral. Lineage: Eukaryota; Metazoa; Chordata; Mammalia; Primates; Hominidae.